GGGCCGGUAGCUCAGCCUGGAAGAGUGCCCGGUUGGCAUCCGGGAGGUCCCGGGUUCAAAUCCCGGCCGGUCCA
Molecule: transfer RNA, 74 nt
Filed under: Acidianus brierleyi
Lineage: Archaea; Thermoproteati; Thermoproteota; Thermoprotei; Sulfolobales; Sulfolobaceae
Rfam family: tRNA
About the family: Transfer RNA (tRNA) molecules are approximately 80 nucleotides in length. Their secondary structure includes four short double-helical elements and three loops (D, anti-codon, and T loops).
Source: Rfam by way of RNAcentral